This 373-nucleotide ribosomal RNA is filed under the name uncultured eukaryote. RNAcentral's name for it is "partial 18S ribosomal RNA". It matches the Rfam family "Eukaryotic small subunit ribosomal RNA", at positions 592 to 976 of the family's 1831-position model. The record is from RNAcentral.
CAAUAGCGUAUAUUAAAGUUGUUGCAGUUAAAAAGCUCGUAGUUGAAUUUUUGCUUGCCGCCGAUGUCGGAACUUCCGUACGUUCGGCGGCGUGCAUCCUUGGGUGGAACCUGUGUGGCAUUAGGUUGUCGUGCAGGGGAUGCUCAUCGUUUACUGUGAAAAAAUUAGAGUGUUCAAAGCAGGCUUACGCCGUUGAAUAUAUUAGCAUGGAAUAAUAAGAUAGGACCUUGGUACUAUUUUGUUGGUUUGCGCACCGAGGUAAUGAUUAACAGGGACAGUUGGGGGUAUUCGUAUUCCAUUGUCAGAGGUGAAAUUCUUGGACUUCUGGAAGACGAACUACUGCGAAAGCAUUUACCAAGGAUGUUUUCAUUAA